UGCAGCAACGCCGCGUGAGGGAUGACGGCCUAUCGGGUUGUAAACCUCUUUUAGUAGGGAAGAAGCGAAAGUGACGGUACCUGCAGAAAAAGCACCGGCUAACUACGUGCCAGCAGCCGCGGUAAUACGUAGGGUGCAAGCGUUGUCCGGAAUUAUUGGGCGUAAAGAGCUCGUAGGCGGUUUGUCGCGUCUGCUGUGAAAUCCCGAGGCUCAACCUCGGGCUUGCAGUGGGUACGGGCAGACUAGAGUGCGGUAGGGGAGAUUGGAAUUCCUGGUGUAGCGGUGGAAUGCGCAGAUAUCAGGAGGAACACCGAUGGCGAAGGCAGAUCUCUGGGCCGUAACUGACGCUGAGGAGCGAAAGCAUGGGGAGCGAACAGGAUUAGAUACCCUGGUAGUCCAUGCCGUAAACGUUGGGCGCUAGAUGUAGGGACCUUUCCACGGUUUCUGUGUCGUAGCUAACGCAUUAAGCGCCCCGCCUGGGGAGUACGGCCGCAAGGCUAAAACUCAAAGGAAUUGACGGGGGCCCGCACAAGCGGCGGAGCAUGCGGAUUAAUUCGAUGCAACGCGAAGAACCUUACCAAGGCUUGACAUACACCGGAAACGGCCAGAGAUGGUCGCCCCCUUGU
This 626-nucleotide ribosomal RNA is filed under the name Curtobacterium sp. Ri2Pt_4111. Its description in RNAcentral is "bacterial SSU rRNA". It matches the Rfam family "Bacterial small subunit ribosomal RNA", at positions 387 to 1021 of the family's 1533-position model. The record is from RNAcentral. Lineage: Bacteria; Bacillati; Actinomycetota; Actinomycetes; Micrococcales; Microbacteriaceae.